GCGCCUCCGCAACAGUGUUACUAAAAUGUCGGAGAAAUACGAGCAUCUUCAUUGCAGGAAUGUUGAGCUGGAGCAUGACUAUCGUGUUCUAAAGCAAAAUUAGGAGAGGACUCACACCCAAGACGCCCAACAAGACCUCACCCAGAAUGUUGGGCAUACCCAGCCAAACCAGCCAAUACACUCUAGCCACAGUGCCCCGGCCCAAUCUAGGCUCUGCAAGGUAAAGGCCACCUUCAUCCGGAGCUAACCCAGUCACGACUCCUUUGCAUUCCCCCGCCGAAGGACCGGCCUCAUGAACUAGUCAGGAUCUAUAAAGAUUGCCGGGACCGCAUCUCAGACCGUCAACCGGAGCCGAUCCCCAUUCCUGUUAACCUCGAAGACCCAUGGGUGACACACCUGGGCCCUCCAUCAGAACCCACCCACUUACCCUACGAGGAGGGCGUAGGGGACUCG
RNAcentral lists this long non-coding RNA (453 nucleotides) under Prunus persica (peach). Its description in RNAcentral is "long non-coding RNA (PPER_LNC006909)". Lineage: Eukaryota; Viridiplantae; Streptophyta; Magnoliopsida; Rosales; Rosaceae. The record is from RNAcentral.